GGCUGCACUUAUGCUCCUCUUACUGACAUGGAAGCUAAAGCAAAAAGGAAAUUGUGCACCUGCUGAUAAUCCCCCCAAACUCCAAAGAAACAUUAUCAUAGACCUCAGAAGGCAAGAACAGCUGGAAAGGGGAAGGACAGUAAAGGAGUAGAUGUCAACUCAUAUAUGAAGCUGAGCAAAAUCAAGACCUUUGAAGCACAUAAAGGAGAAUAAAAGGUGACAAGGAACCAGAACAUUUUUCAGUAUUAAAAGUAUUAAAGCACAUGAUGAGGAACUAUUUUCUAGCAGAGUACAACCAUCGGAAUGCUUUUGUGGUAGAGAACUUUUUGUUUUGGUAAGUUUUAA
This is a non-coding RNA of Cyanistes caeruleus (blue tit), 345 nucleotides long. The record is from RefSeq and is a predicted model, not a curated record. NCBI's taxonomy places the organism in Eukaryota, Metazoa, Chordata, Aves, Passeriformes, Paridae.